UACGAGGAACUUUCAGUCUGCUGAGCUCUCUGCACACCUGAUCCAACAUCCCUAGAAAGUCUCUAACAAUAACAAAAAUACGAAGUGGGUUUGCUUCUUCUUUGCUCACAUCUCCAUGAAAGUACUCUGUAAUUUCUCUAACAUGUAAUAGUACUCUGUGUUCAUCUUCUUGCAACUCCUUCAGAUUCCUUUCUGCAUAAUUUAUGAAUGUUUUCAUUGAAUGAACAAAGCUUCCACUCUUUUCAUCUUCGGACAAGUCCUUGAUUAUUAAAUGUUGCAGUUUAGACAUUCCUUCAGAAAGGUUAGAGACUGAGCUUGCAAGAACAUCCAAAUCAAUUGUAGCUGUUUUCUUGACAUUAUAGAGUUCUGUACUUAGACCUGAAACAAGCUCUAAACCCAUUCUUCUGUAAUCUUCUUCUCUUUGUUCAUUUGUCUUGCUUCUGUUCUUCUGACUGAUUCUUCCCAUAAUACUGUCUGAAACUCGAACCCCUUCUGUUCGAAUUAUUUCUUGGACUACAAAAUGGAGUAAGCUAGUUUUGCCAUCUGUUCCUUUCACAUCAGCAAGUUUAAGAAGAGCAUCAAGCUUGAAUGCCUUAGCACCACCUCUAAUUGUUCCAACGUUCAUACGGUUUCCUGUUUUGAGUACUGCUUCAAGUAACUUCAAGAAAAGUCUACUUGAUCUGAGUUCUUUGCAGGCAUCCUAAUGAAAAGCAGAAUAAGGGACGGACAUAAGUAGAGUUGAAUUAUACUAGGAUACACUAUAGAGUUAUUCAAAUAACCUACAUGCACAGUCUCUAUGCACAUAAGCUGUUUGAGGAUAUUCCUAACAGUAAGUAUAAAUAUAAGCAUACAACUGAUUUGGUGUGCGAUUUGAUCAGUUACCUCCAGCAUUGAGAAGGAAUUUCUCAGAUGAACCACCUCAUCUUCAAAAGUUUCUCUAUAAAGCAUUGCUUCAACUCUUAGAAAGGCAAAUGGUAUGGUAAGUGCUAAUUUAACAAACUUUUCUGCAGGUCCCAAUUCAUUGAUGUCUCCUGUAUAGUCUGCAAGCUUAGCCUCUUCUUCCUUGGUGGGUACCAUCUUUGUCAGCGCCUCUAGUUGUUGUAAACUCAAGCCAUCCCCUGCUUUCCACAGUUCAAAUAAUAUUAGUUUCCGUUUUGCUUCUGCUCCAAAUUCAUUGUCAUAUUUUAUAAAACUCUGUGAAGAUUUCUAAGCUAUUACCUCUUAUUAAUGCUUCACAUACUUGCUCAGGAGUUGCAUUCAAGGCUUUUGAGAGUAUGGUUAAGUUCUGCAGUCUCUUUGGCUCUAGGACAUGUUUGUUUGGGCAUGGGGUUUUACUCUUUUCUUCAUCAUUCUUCAUUGUAACUUGUAAAUUAUAUCCAAAAAGUGAUUCAAUCAUCUCCUCGUCCAACCUGUUUUGCAAAUCACUGAUUGGUGAACUCCAAUCAGAAGUGUAAAUAUAUUGAUGAAAAUGAGGCAGGACUUACUCGAAUGAGCUUGACCUUAUCUUGUCCCACACCAUACUACGAUCAGGUGCAGCUCUAACUUUGUCCCAAUGAAGAGGCUUUAAUUUUGGCAGUGGAACUCUAGCUUUGCCCUGUGAAUAUUGAGGAAGCUGAGACGGUGGAGGAGGUGGGCCUUUGGUGGAGCUACUAUUUCCUUUCGUAGAUGGAGGUGAGCAAGGUUGAGGAGGUGGACCUUUGGUAGAGCUACUAUUUCCUUGUAGAACUGGAGGAGGACAAGGUGGAGGAGGUGGACCUUUGGCAGAGCUGCUAUUUCCUUGUGGACAUGGUGAAGAGGAGGAAGGGAUACUCGAAAAAGCUUGUAAAGUCUUGGGAGAUGUCUGGGCUGAUGAAACCAACUCAUUUUGAACUGUCUGGUUUGAUCCUGAAGAAGAAUCUGAUUUCCUAGGAGAUGACAAAUUUGGCAGUGGAGAAGAAGAUGAAAUAUGGAAGGGCAUAGUUGGAGCUAGAGCAGAUGGAGCUUGAGAAGGAGGAGGAGGUGGUGGGGCAAAAUUCACAUCAGAAUCUGAUGGAGAUGAAACUGUCAGAUUAUCUGCUUUUCUUAUUCCUGGAGAUUGAGGAAAUUUUGGUUGUAAAUUCAAAGCAGGGGUUGAGAUACAUUCUGAAGUGGCUUGCGGAAUGUCUAAUUUUGUGGAAGAAGUAGCUAUUAGAGAAGAUGAUGAAAUCUUGGUCACUUUUGAAGGGGAAAUUUCUGAUAUCUCAGUAAGACUACCAGCUGAAGCACUGGAAAACCUGAAAUAAGAUGAACGUGAAUCGACAAAAGAAUGAAAAGAUUCAUCAUCAGAGGAAUGGCCUUCAAUGGGAAUAACUUUUUCUGCAGGGGAAGAGUUUCCACCAUCAGAUUCAAACUUGAUAGAUUCUACAUCCUCAUGAACAGACAUGAUUUCCCUUGUGGAAGAACUAUUAGCAUUAUCAAUUUCUGAUUUUAUCAUCAGUUCUUGGUUUGAUUCCUUUCUUUCAUGAAAUGUAUCUACAGUAGUUUGUUUAAGACAAGUAUCAUCUAGCUCUAAAUCCCUUUCUGAUGAUUUAAGGUACAAAAGAUCAAGAACAGGAUUUAAGCUCUCCUUGCUUGCUGGCUUUUGGGUAAAUGUAUACUUCGAUUUACCUCUGGUUCUUCCUACCUUUUUUUUAUACACCGACAUUAUUCUUGCAGAUAUUCUUUUCUUCUUUCUGAAUUUUCCAGAGACCCAGAUAAGCCCAAGAACACUGACAAAAAAGGCAGCUCCUGCUGACACAAGCACUCCUGCUAAAAUUCUUCUAAAUCUGCUUUUUUCUCUGUGCGUUUUUAGAAUUUUGGGCGCAGGAAGGAUUGAAUUUGAGUGAUGAAAAGGGGAAUGAGAAUGUGCUUGGAUAGGCAACACUGAAGCAGUAGCAGGGGCAGGAGCUGGAGCCUCAGCUUCUAUGGAGGUUGAAGGAGAUGAUGCUGGUGACUGAAACUCACUUGGUGGGUUUCCUGUUUUGGAGCCUGUCAACCCUAGUAAGGCUCUGAAUUUUUGCACUAUCAAGCUCGCAUAUUCUUCAUUCUCGUCCUCUCCUGAAACUUUCUCAAUCUGCUUCUCAUUACCAUCUUCACCACUUUCCUCCAUGAAUUCAAGCUCUUGUGGGCUCUGAAGUUUAAAGCACUCUGCUGCAUCAAAUGCGGACGCAUCAGCAAUCAAAAUGUGGGUUCUUUGCAAUGACAAAAAGAUGAAAAUGGAUACAGUAAGGACGAGCAUCAUGUGGCGAAUCUGAGAAGAAUAAGAGCCCAUGUUCUUCAACCACAAAUCAUCAGAGCAUCAAUAUCUAACUUUCCGCAUAGAAAUAGAGUCUCAUUUCUGCUGCAUUCUUUUUCAGAAAAGAAAAUAAUAAUAAGACAACAUUUAUUAUUGGACGGUGCAGGUACUGUGCAAGGAACAACAUGUAUUUCAAUGUUUAAUGUACUCCAAGGAAUCACUGAGCAUGGCAGUUGGAGUUGUACUGGGCCUUCUUUAAUCUUUU
RNAcentral lists this long non-coding RNA (3497 nucleotides) under Manihot esculenta (cassava). RNAcentral describes it as "long non-coding RNA (MESC_LNC005706)". Lineage: Eukaryota; Viridiplantae; Streptophyta; Magnoliopsida; Malpighiales; Euphorbiaceae. The record is from RNAcentral.